AGUGAACGCUGGCGGUAGGCCUAACACAUGCAAGUCGAACGGCAGCACAGUAAGAGCUUGCUCUUACGGGUGGCGAGUGGCGGACGGGUGAGGAAUACAUCGGAAUCUACUUUUUCGUGGGGGAUAACGUAGGGAAACUUACGCUAAUACCGCAUACGACCUACGGGUGAAAGCAGGGGAUCUUCGGACCUUGCGCGAUUGAAUGAGCCGAUGUCGGAUUAGCUAGUUGGCGGGGUAAAGGCCCACCAAGGCGACGAUCCGUAGCUGGUCUGUGAGGAUGAGCGGCCACACUGGAACUGAGACACGGUCCAGACUCCUACGGGAGGCAGCAGUGGGGAAUAUUGGACAAUGGGCGCAAGCCUGAUCCAGCCAUACCGCGUGGGUGAAGAAGGCCUUCGGGUUGUAAAGCCCUUUUGUUGGGAAAGAAAAGCAGCAGGUUAAUACCCCGCUGUUCUGACGGUACCCAAAGAAUAAGCACCGGCUAACUUCGUG
Molecule: ribosomal RNA, 492 nt
Filed under: uncultured bacterium
Lineage: Bacteria
Description: partial 16S ribosomal RNA
Rfam family: Bacterial small subunit ribosomal RNA
Source: RNAcentral